Hemicordylus capensis (graceful crag lizard) is the source of this 727-nucleotide long non-coding RNA. RefSeq lists it as uncharacterized. NCBI's taxonomy places the organism in Eukaryota, Metazoa, Chordata, Lepidosauria, Squamata, Cordylidae. The transcript has 3 exons. The record is from RefSeq and is a predicted model, not a curated record.
AUAGCCUGUUGCUGUGCCUGAUUGUAGUUAUGCUGCUGAAUACAGGAGCCAGUGAUUUAUCCUGUCCAGUUGGGGUGGAGAUGACCUGAACAUCCAGAGAUGCAGGGAAGUGAGCUUGAACGAGGAGCAAACCUUCAGUGAGGCACACACAUUGGCAGGCGAGAAGGAACUGAACAGAUGGCACUCUGCUGCCCAAAAUACCAAGCGUGCCUUGCGUGUGAAGGGCAGAGCUACAGAGUGCUUUGUACAGAAGUGUAAAAUCCUUCUGCAAAGGCUACUGCACAGGUGCAGAACCCAUGAUGUGAAGAAUCCUCUAUCACCUCAAAGAUUAGUGCCAAGUUUUUUGUGCAGUUGAGGAAUGCAUCCAGCUCCUGGUCGUUGCAGCAAAGCCCCUUAUAAUGGCUGGACUAAGACUUGAGGGAAUGUGUUGAACUAAGGACAGAGAACAGAGCAGUGCUGGUAGUGCUGGUACUUUGUGCAGUGGAAUGGAAGCACUGUGAUUAGAAGGUAGCUGAGACACAGAUGAACCAAUUGCAGCCUGCUUUGAACAGCUGCAAGUCAGAGAAGGCACUGAAGCAUUGUGCAGCUAGAGAUGUUAGUCACAUAACUGUUCUCAGUGUUUUACACAUAUGGCACAUCAGCGAAUCAAAGAUAAACAAGUUUGGGAUGGGACAUAACAAUAGAGAAAAACAUGAAAAUAAUGUUCCAAGCCUCCAAUGCAAUAUGA